AAAAAUUGCUGAAUUGUUCUAAAUGAUCAGAAUACCAGAAAGAACCCCACAGAAUUGUGAAUGCAGUAUUAAACUAUAACAGGUACACUCACCUUAAAAAACAUCAGGAGGUCAUUUCAGAGACUUGCAGUACUUCUGUUCAGUGUUUUUAAGACUUUGAGAUCCGUCUGCAAUCUCUGAUCCAGUUCCUUCGGCGUUCCAGUAAACUUCAGGACGUCCUGGUGAAGGAUUACUGUGCUGUGGGACAAAGAGAGAGCCGAAUCUCACGGUAAACUCCGUGAACUCAUUUGAUCGCAUCUGUGUUGUGCGUCUUCGCGCGUCGCGCCGCUUCUUUGAUUACACUCGGUUACGCACUGGACGCUCUGCUUUCCACCAUUUUAUUUACACAUGUAAAGAGGGAAAGCAACUUGAGAAGUGUCAAAAUCACCGACUGGAAUUUCGGAAUGUAAAUUAAGUUUGUACGCGGAACGAUAAAACAGCGAUUUGGAACGAGGGACGUUUGGAUGUGGACUUUCGCGUCUGUUUGUUCCAUCAACGCCCAUCUCCACGUGCCUGCUGAGGGAAAAUCACCGUGUAAAACAUGUUUAAGCCUUAUUUCGCUCAGCAUGUGUAUCAGUUGAGAGGAAAGUUGUAUUUUGCAGCUGGAAUCUCAUGUUGACCCGAGAGCACAGCUGUGUUUCCAGCACAUCGCAGACAGACAGGUGAUGUUUCUGCAACAGUGACGUGAUCAAUCAGAGGUCCUCCAGAAAGGGCUCUGUCACAGGUGUCACUCACAAACAAACAUGCUGCCCCAGCUCGAGUUCACGGAGGCCGUCUGUCCCGCUGUGAACUCUGGGAGCUUUUACCUGCGCGUGUCUAGCGUGGCGCUUGUGUUUGGAGACAAAGAGGGAGGAUCAGCCCUGAUGACCCAGAAAGACGCUCGCGGAUGGGCCUAAUUAGAUUAGCCCAGUGUGACGAACGGGGGAUGACGUCAUGGCUCCGCUGGCCCGGUCAUGUGACCGGAUAAAACUGUUGGAGGCUGUCAGGUUUCUCCUUUUAUCACACGACCGGUCAUCCCAGUAGAGAUGCAACAUCUGUAUUUCAUUGCCGCUGGAGUAAUGAUAAACACACUCUCACAUCUGAUCCAAAACCCACAUCGCACGGAUGAAGCUCAACCAUCAUGGAAUGGAACGCACAGGAUUGUGGGAUAUCAAAGACAGCGAAGGAUACAUCAACGCUGCCUUCAAAAUUCGAUCAUAAGAAGGUACCGCCAGAGACAGGAAGUAAAGCAGAAUUUGGAUUCGAACGUGCCUUUAUGUCUUCCUGUCUUGGAAUGCUGCUUAUGAAGACCGCAUUUUAUAGUUUUAGGAUGCAGCCAAGGUCUUGCAGUCUCCACUUAUAAGCUGAUGAGUUAAAUCGGGCAAGUUCAAGCUCAAACCGGUGUGCACCGUUUUGCUACGGUUUCUGGUUUGAACGACAUGUUUCCUGGAAACGGUGUGCAACGUUUUCUCUUGUUUGGUGGGUGUGUCAAAAAUGUCAGCCCAAUCAGCAGCAACAUGUAUAUAAACCACAAGGUGUUAAAGAGACAGCUCACACAAUAUAUUGUUUGCAUGUUUAUUUAUAUUAAAGGCAAAAUAACUAAAAUAAUAAGAGCACAAGUAUAGAUCUGGAACUUCUUUAAGUCUGUCUAAAUAUCAUUUAGUAUUGCAAUGUCUUCUGGUCUUCCUUGGGAAGCUGUGAUAGACACUGAUUAAUGUAACAUAAAUACUAUACACAUUUAUAUAUUUUGCUAUUGUAUUGUGGAGUGACAAUUUCAUAAACUUUUCUAUACUCUGAUUAAAUAAUGGUAAAUAUUACAAUAAUGUAGCACAACAACAGUGAUCAGCAAUAAGGAUAAGCCUAAUACUCACAAUAAAAAUAAUAAGGUCAUAUAGAUCAUAACACAGUCUCGGAGGUAAGAAGUGGAUU
Molecule: long non-coding RNA, 1947 nt
Organism: Cyprinus carpio carpio
Lineage: Eukaryota; Metazoa; Chordata; Actinopteri; Cypriniformes; Cyprinidae
Source: Ensembl